Non-coding RNA from Nostoc calcicola FACHB-389, 62 nucleotides. The record is from Rfam. NCBI's taxonomy places the organism in Bacteria, Bacillati, Cyanobacteriota, Cyanophyceae, Nostocales, Nostocaceae.
UGGUAGAUGCACCCUGAUAACUAGCUCCCCUGGUCAGCUAAUAGCCACUGGGGGUUUUUUUU